RNAcentral lists this long non-coding RNA (851 nucleotides) under Daucus carota (carrot). RNAcentral's name for it is "long non-coding RNA (DCAR_LNC001003)". Lineage: Eukaryota; Viridiplantae; Streptophyta; Magnoliopsida; Apiales; Apiaceae. The record is from RNAcentral.
AAUGCUACAAAGUUUCUGGAUCAUAUAAUACAUUUCCAGAUUUCAUGAAUAGAAAUAACAGAUGUGCAUAUCACCUUUAUUUCUCUGGUUCUUGCUUACCUGCCAGAUAAUCCUCAUAGUCUGUCUUGAAGAGAAUUCAAAACAUUCCAUUAUGCAAAGAACAAUCAGCAGCUUCAUUGAAUUCUUCAGUGGUAAUGAAUAAGUUCCUGUCUACCACUUACUGAAGAAUAAAUGUAUCACCUUAUACUUCUCCUCCCGUUACCUUGAUCAGGUUCCCCUUAGUGAUAAGUAGUUGUCUCCCCUUAGAUGAAAGAUCAAUCCUCCUCCUUAGUCUCAAGAAGAAUCUCCCCCUCAGUAGUACACAGCUAAAGAGUAGUUUAAUCCCCCUUAGUUGUAGACAGCUAAAGAAAGCUAACUUACUUUUUCUUCCCCCUUUCAUAUAUUCUCCCCCUAAAUAUAUUCUCCCCCUUAGUUGUGGAAUCCUCCGAGGAUAUGUGGUAUCAAAUAUGGUCAAGGAACGUGUCCAAUACAUCCUGUACCAAAAGAUAAUAUCCCCGUAGAGAACUAAACAACGCUAAAGCUGGGGUCGAAGAAAGAGUUCAGAAGAAGGGUUUACUUUGAUUGGGUUGGUCCCUAUGCUAAAAGAAUAGGUUCCAAACGGAAAAGUAAUGAAUAAGAACUGACAUUCCAGUAACAACAUCCACUUUGUCUUUAGGUAUAAAUUUGGUAAUUAGUGGGUGUCUCACUAAAAUGUUCUGCAGGUGUAUCACUCAACACUCAAUUUUCUCUCGGUUUUUGGGUAAGGGUGUCACUCACGAGUUCUGUAAGUGUAUCCCUCCACACAAAUACUG